Molecule: ribosomal RNA, 445 nt
Filed under: uncultured bacterium
Lineage: Bacteria
Description: partial 16S ribosomal RNA
Rfam family: Bacterial small subunit ribosomal RNA
Source: RNAcentral
GUGAGGAAUAUUGGACAAUGGGCGCAAGCCUGAUCCAGCCAUGCCGCGUGCAGGAAGACGCAUCUAUGGUGUGUAAACUGCUUUUGUACGGGAAGAAACACUCCCUCGUGAGGGAGCUUGACGGUACCGUAAGAAUAAGGAUCGGCUAACUCCGUGCCAGCAGCCGCGGUAAUACGGAGGAUCCAAGCGUUAUCCGGAAUCAUUGGGUUUAAAGGGUCCGUAGGCGGUUUAAUACGUCAGUGGUGAAAGCCCAUCGCUCAACGAUGGAACGGCCAUUGAUACUGUUAGACUUGAAUUACAAGGAAGUAACUAGAAUAUGUAGUGUAGCGGUGAAAUGCUUAGAUAUUACAUGGAAUACCAAUUGCGAAGGCAGGUUACUACUUGUGGAUUGACGCUGAUGGACGAAAGCGUGGGGAGCGAACAGGAUUAGAAACCCUGGUAGUCC